UGAGCAAUCUGCCCUUCUCAUCGGAAUAAGCGUUGGAAACGACGUCUAAUGCCGGAUACGACCUCCUUUCGCAUGAUCGGAGGUGGAAAGCUCCGGCGGAGAAGGAUGAGCUCGCGGCCUAUCAGCUAGUUGGUGUGGGUAAUGGCCCACCAAGGCGACGACGGGUAGCCGGCCUGAGAGGGUGACCGGCCACACUGGGACUGGGACACGGCCCAGACUCCUACGGGAGGNAG
Molecule: ribosomal RNA, 233 nt
Filed under: uncultured bacterium
Lineage: Bacteria
Description: partial 16S ribosomal RNA
Rfam family: Bacterial small subunit ribosomal RNA
Source: RNAcentral